This 330-nucleotide ribosomal RNA is filed under the name uncultured bacterium. RNAcentral describes it as "bacterial SSU rRNA". It matches the Rfam family "Bacterial small subunit ribosomal RNA", at positions 568 to 898 of the family's 1533-position model. The record is from RNAcentral.
UCCGUAGGCGGUGUGGCAAGUCGGAAGUGAAGUCUCUGGGCUUAACUCAGAGGCUGCUUCCGAAACUGCCGUGCUAGAGUGCGAGAGAGGCAAGUGGAAUUGCGGGUGUAGCGGUGAAAUGCGUAGAUAUCCGCAGGAACAUCCGAGGCGAAAGCGGCUUGCUGGAUCGCAACUGACGCUGAGGGACGAAAGCUAGGGGAGCAAACAGGAUUAGAUACCCUGGUAGUCCUAGCCCUAAACCAUCAGGACUUGGGGUUUGCCCUGUACGGGGCAAGUCCCGUAGCUAACGCGUUAAGUCCUGCGCCUGGGGAGUACGGUCGCAAGGCUGAA